UACGUAGGGGGCAAGCGUUGUCCGGAAUUAUUGGGCGUAAAGCCCACGUAGGCGGACUGGAAAGUUGGGGGUGAAAUCCCGGGGCUCACCCUCGGAACUGCCGUUGAUACUGGCGGGCUUGAGUUCGGUCGAGGCGGGCGGAACUGGUGGUGUAGCGGUGAAAUGCAUAGAUACCACCAAGAACCCCGAUUGCGAAGGCAGCUCGCUGGCCCGAAACUGACGCUGAGGCACGAAAGCGUGGGGAGCGAACAGG
RNAcentral lists this unclassified non-coding RNA (253 nucleotides) under uncultured Hymenobacteraceae bacterium. RNAcentral's name for it is "contains 16S-23S intergenic spacer region". It matches the Rfam family "Bacterial small subunit ribosomal RNA", at positions 524 to 776 of the family's 1533-position model. The record is from RNAcentral. Lineage: Bacteria; Pseudomonadati; Bacteroidota; Cytophagia; Cytophagales; Hymenobacteraceae.